Balaenoptera acutorostrata (minke whale) is the source of this 195-nucleotide long non-coding RNA. RefSeq lists it as uncharacterized. The record is from RefSeq and is a predicted model, not a curated record. Lineage: Eukaryota; Metazoa; Chordata; Mammalia; Artiodactyla; Balaenopteridae. The transcript is spliced from 3 exons.
AUUUCUCAUCGGAAACCAUGGAGGCCAGAUGCAGUAGUAUUGCAGGAAAAUGGGGCAUAAGAGGAUGGUCAGGUCUCAGCAUACAAGACAGUAUCAGGAGUUAAUGGUCCACUAGUGAUCUUAGAUCAUGUUAAGUUUCCCAGAUAUGCUGAGAUUGUGCACUUAACACUACCUGAUGGCACGAAGAGGAGUGGG